AUGGGGCAUCGUGCGAAGCCUCCUCGGAACCAGGCGGGGAGGAAGGAGCCGGAGGAAGCGCUGGAAAAGCUCCUCCUUCCUCUGGCUGCUGCUGCGGCUCCGCUCCCAAGCGCAACAGGCGGAAACAGCGCGCAGGAUCCCGCGGCGCUGCCCGGGCACGAUCCGUGGGGAGCGGAGGGAAGGGAAGGGAAGGAAAGGAAAGGCCCCGCCGCCCUCAUUCCCAGAGCCCGGGGUGUGACCGAGGGAGGAAGAGGAGGAGGAAGGAGGACGUGCUGGCGUGCCCAGAAAGUUCAAGCUGUUCCCAGCUGCGGAGCCGCUGCCCAGGGGGAUGCACGCCCUGGGAUCGCUCGGGGUGCCUGGGUGCUCCCAGAGCUCGGGAAGCUCGGCUCGGUUCAGCUUGGCUCGGUUUGGGGCAGCCAGCGUGGAAAGGACUCCAGGAGGCUUUUCCUGGGCUGGCCUUGUUUACCCGGCAGCAGUGGGAGGGAGCGAGGGUUGGAAGUGGCCGGGCUGGGAGCGAGGCAUCCUGUUUAUCCUCCUGAAAUAGCUGCCCUUGGCGGGGCUGGGCAGGGGGCGGCAGGAUGGGCACAGCCCCUGUUCCCCGCCCUGCAGCGAUGCCACCACCCCGGCGACACCAGCGAGUCCUCGCCGUGCCAGGGCAAUGCCACCCUGGAGCCCAAAUCCUCCUUUUGGGCGCACUAUGCCCGUGCCAAGCUCUGCUCAACUCCCCACAUGGCCAAAAAACAUCGGCACAUCGAGUGGCACCCAGAUGCCACCUGCAUUUGUCCCAGCUCCCUCUCCCCCCAGGGAUGCCCACAGUGCAGCAGCCUUUUCCACCCUAACAGUGUUCUCACCCCUCCGACUCAUUUCAAUAGGAAAAUAAUUCCAAAGCUUUAAUAUUUCCCUUUUUAUAUCCUCUUAUAUCCUUUUCCCCCCCUGAGAUGCCCCAUAAGAAGGUUUUACCCUCAGCACGAGGCUUGUUUGCUGUUUGUUUGCCAGGCCAGAAUGCUGCUGGUAUCAAGGGACUCUCGUGGAAAAUUUAUCUGCAGCAAAAUCUCAUUUCCAAUAGAAAAUUGUUCCAUUGGAGGCUUUUAAAUACUUUCCCCAGUGCUGAUCCCCGAGGAGUCUGGCUGGGAAUUAAUUUGAAAUUCUGUCUUAGUGGGGUGAUGGUAUUUAAGAGGCGAUGAAAAUGCAUCCACCCACUUCAAAUUGAAAAAUAAAUGGGAAUAUCUAUCCA
Molecule: long non-coding RNA, 1234 nt
Filed under: Junco hyemalis (dark-eyed junco)
Lineage: Eukaryota; Metazoa; Chordata; Aves; Passeriformes; Passerellidae
Description: lncRNA (ENSJHYG00000013363.1)
Source: RNAcentral